This 404-nucleotide ribosomal RNA is filed under the name Staphylococcus aureus. RNAcentral's name for it is "partial 23S ribosomal RNA". It matches the Rfam family "Bacterial large subunit ribosomal RNA", at positions 513 to 920 of the family's 2925-position model. Lineage: Bacteria; Bacillati; Bacillota; Bacilli; Caryophanales; Staphylococcaceae. The record is from RNAcentral.
GGUGAAAAGCACCCCGGAAGGGGAGUGAAAUAGAACCUGAAACCGUGUGCUUACAAGUAGUCAGAGCCCGUUAAUGGGUGAUGGCGUGCCUUUUGUAGAAUGAACCGGCGAGUUACGAUUUGAUGCAAGGUUAAGCAGUAAAUGUGGAGCCGUAGCGAAAGCGAGUCUGAAUAGGGCGUUUAGUAUUUGGUCGUAGACCCGAAACCAGGUGAUCUACCCUUGGUCAGGUUGAAGUUCAGGUAACACUGAAUGGAGGACCGAACCGACUUACGUUGAAAAGUGAGCGGAUGAACUGAGGGUAGCGGAGAAAUUCCAAUCGAACCUGGAGAUAGCUGGUUCUCUCCGAAAUAGCUUUAGGGCUAGCCUCAAGUGAUGAUUAUUGGAGGUAGAGCACUGUUUGGACG